UCGGGAACUGUGAGACAGGUGCUGCAUGGCUGUCGUCAGCUCGUGUUGUGAAAUGUUGGGUUAAGUCCCGCAACGAGCGCAACCCUUAUCCUUUGUUGCCAGCGAUUAGGUCGGGAACUCAAAGGAGACUGCCAGUGAUAAACUGGAGGAAGGUGGGGAUGACGUCAAGUCAUCAUGGCCCUUACGACCAGGGCUACACACGUGCUACAAUGGCGCAUACAAAGAGAAGCGACCUCGCGAGAGCAAGCGGACCUCAUAAAGUGCGUCGUAGUCCGGAUUGGAGUCUGCAACUCGACUCCAUGAAGUCGGAAUCGCUAGUAAUCGUGGAUCAGAAUGCCACGGUGAAUACGUUCCCGGGCCUUGUACACACCGCCCGUCACACCAUGGGAGUGGGUUGCAAAAGAAGUAGGUAGCUUAACCUUCGGGAGGGCGCUUACCACUUUGUGAUUCAUGACUGGGGUGAAGUCGUAACAAGGUAACCGUAGGGGAACCUGC
Molecule: ribosomal RNA, 495 nt
Filed under: Salmonella enterica subsp. enterica serovar Newport
Lineage: Bacteria; Pseudomonadati; Pseudomonadota; Gammaproteobacteria; Enterobacterales; Enterobacteriaceae
Also listed under: 1 other name
Description: bacterial SSU rRNA
Rfam family: Bacterial small subunit ribosomal RNA
Source: RNAcentral